AGCGAACGUUAGCGGCGCGCCUAACACAUGCAAGUCGAACGAGAAAGGGCUUCGGCCCCGGUAAAGUGGCGCACGGGUGAGUAACACGUGGGUAAUCUUCCCUCGAGCGGGGGAUAACAUUCCGAAAGGAGUGCUAAAUACCGCAUAAGACCACGGAGUCGAAAGACACUGAGGUAAAAGCAGCCCUCUUCAUGAAAGGUUGCACUUGAGGAUGAGCCCGCGGCCCAUCAGGUUGUUGGCAGGGUAACGGCCUACCAAGCCUAAGACGGGUAGCUGGUCUGAGAGGAUGAUCAGCCACACUGGAACUGAGACACGGUCCAGACUCCUACGGGAGGCUG
Molecule: ribosomal RNA, 338 nt
Filed under: uncultured Acidobacteriota bacterium
Lineage: Bacteria; Pseudomonadati; Acidobacteriota
Description: bacterial SSU rRNA
Rfam family: Bacterial small subunit ribosomal RNA
Source: RNAcentral